RNAcentral lists this ribosomal RNA (429 nucleotides) under Chloroflexota bacterium. RNAcentral's name for it is "Chloroflexi bacterium partial 16S ribosomal RNA". It matches the Rfam family "Bacterial small subunit ribosomal RNA", at positions 355 to 776 of the family's 1533-position model. The record is from RNAcentral. Lineage: Bacteria; Bacillati; Chloroflexota.
UGGGGAAUAUUGCACAAUGGGCGCAAGCCUGAUGCAGCCAUGCCGCGUGUAUGAAGAAGGCCUUCGGGUUGUAAAGUACUUUCAGUCGGGAGGAAGGUGGUAAGGUUAAUAACCUUAUCAAUUGACGUUACCGACAGAAGAAGCACCGGCUAACUCCGUGCCAGCAGCCGCGGUAAUACGGAGGGUGCAAGCGUUAAUCGGAAUUACAGGGCGUAAAGCGAGCGCAGGCGGUUUCUUAAGUCUGAUGUGAAAGCCCCCGGCUCAACCGGGGAGGGUCAUUGGAAACUGGGAGACUUGAGUGCAGAAGAGGAGAGUGGAAUUCCAUGUGUAGCGGUGAAAUGCGUAGAUAUAUGGAGGAACACCAGUGGCGAAGGCGGCCCCCUGGACAAAGACUGACGCUCAGGUGCGAAAGCGUGGGGAGCAAACAGG